This 486-nucleotide ribosomal RNA is filed under the name uncultured bacterium. RNAcentral's name for it is "partial 16S ribosomal RNA". It matches the Rfam family "Bacterial small subunit ribosomal RNA", at positions 28 to 507 of the family's 1533-position model. The record is from RNAcentral.
GACGAACGCUGGCGGCGUGCUUAACACAUGCAAGUCGAACGCUGAAGGCCUGGCUUUUGUUGGGUUGGAUGAGUGGCGAACGGGUGAGUAACACGUGAGUAACCUGCCCUCUUCUUUGGGAUAACGCCCGGAAACGGGUGCUAAUACUGGAUAUUCACUGAUCUUCGCAUGGGGGUUGGUGGAAAGGUUUGUUCUGGUGGGGGAUGGGCUCGCGGCCUAUCAGCUUGUUGGUGGGGUGAUGGCCUACCAAGGCUUUGACGGGUAGCCGGCCUGAGAGGGUGACCGGUCACAUUGGGACUGAGAUACGGCCCAGACUCCUACGGGAGGCAGCAGUGGGGAAUAUAGCACAAUGGGCGAAAGCCUGAUGCAGCGACGCCGCGUGAGGGAUGGAGGCCUUCGGGUUGUAAACCUCUUUCGCUCAUGGUCAAGCCGCAACUGUGGGUUGUGGUGAGGGUAGUGGGUAAAGAAGCGCCGGCUAACUACGUG